UACAGGGGGUGCAAACGUUGCUCGGAAUUAUUGGGCGUAAAGGGCUCGUAGGUGGCCAACUAGGUCAGACGUGAAAUCCCUCGGCUUAACCGGGGAACUGCGUCUGAUACUGGAUGGCUUGAGUUCGGGAGAGGGAUGCGGAAUUCCAGGUGUAGCGGUGAAAUGCGUAGAUAUCUGGAGGAACACCGGUGGCGAAGGCGGCAUCCUGGACCGACACUGACGCUGAGGAGCGAAAGCCAGGGGAGCAAACGGG
Molecule: ribosomal RNA, 253 nt
Filed under: uncultured bacterium
Lineage: Bacteria
Description: partial 16S ribosomal RNA
Rfam family: Bacterial small subunit ribosomal RNA
Source: RNAcentral